UGGGGAAUAUUGCACAAUGGGCGCAAGCCCGAUGCAGCGACGCCGCGUGCGGGAUGGAGGCCUUCGGGUUGUAAACCGCUUUUGUUCAAGGGCAAGGCAGGCUUUCGGGCCUGUUGAGUGGAUUGUUCGAAUAAGCACCGGCUAACUACGUGCC
This 154-nucleotide ribosomal RNA is filed under the name uncultured bacterium. RNAcentral's name for it is "partial 16S ribosomal RNA". It matches the Rfam family "Bacterial small subunit ribosomal RNA", at positions 355 to 509 of the family's 1533-position model. The record is from RNAcentral.